GGGGGAAAAAUUAAUAAAUUAUAAAUAAUAAAAAAAUUUUUAAUAUUAAUAUAAUUUAAUGGGGGUUAAAGUAUAUUUAAUAGAAAAAAUAAUAAAAUUUAUAGGGAAUUAGUAUUGUAAAAGAAAUUUGAAAUAUAUUGAAAAUAAAUUUAUAUAAAAGUAGAUUUAAUUUAUUGUAUCUUGUGUAUCAGAGUUUAUUAAUAAUAUUUUUUAUUUAAAAAUUUUCUCGAAUUUAAAAGAGAUAAUUAAUUAUUAAAAUUAAUGUUGAAUAAUUAUUUUAAAUAAUUAAUUUGAAAUGAAAUGUUAAUCGUUUUUAAAUAUAUCUAGUUUUUUUAGAAAAAAAUUUAAUUUUAAAUUUUAAAAUAAUAUAGUUUUAAUUAAUUAAAAUUGUAUUUUUAAAAUUAAAUAUUUUAAGGGAUAAGCUUUAAAAUAAAUUUUUAUAAUAAAUUUUAUUAAAAAAUUAAGAUUUUUAAAAUUUAUAUUGUUUAUAAAUUAUAAUUUUUUAUAAAUAAUUUUAAUUUAAUUAAAAUUUAAAAUUUAUUUAAUUUUUUAUAAAAAAAUAUUUUUUAAUAAUUUAAAUUUAGAUAUAAUGAUAAAAUUAGUAUAUAAUUAGAUAAAAAUAAUUUUUUAUUUGAUAAUUUAAAAAAAAGGAAUUCGGCAAAAAUUUAUAUUCACUUGUUUAUCAAAAACAUGUCUUUUUGAUUAAUAAUUUAAAGUCUAAUCUGCCCACUGAUAAUUUAUUAAAGGGCUGCAGUAUUUUGACUGUACAAAGGUAGCAUAAUCAUUAGUCUCUUAAUUGGUGACUUGUAUGAAAGAUUUGAUGAGAUAUAUACUGUCUCUUUUUAAUUUAUAAAAUUUAAUUUUUUAGUUAAAAAGCUAAAAUAAAUUUAAAAGACGAGAAGACCCUAUAGAGUUUUAUAUUUAAUUAAAUUAAAAUUUUUUAUAAGUUUUAAAAUUUUAAUUUAAAUAAAUAUUUUGUUGGGGUGACAGAAAAAUUAAAAUAACUUUUUUUAAAAAUAUACAUUUAUAAAUGGAUAAAUGAUCCGUAAUUUACGAUUAUAAGAAAAAAUUACCUUAGGGAUAACAGCGUAAUUUUUUUUUUUAGUUCAAAUAAGAAAAAAAGUUUGCGACCUCGAUGUUGGAUUAAGAUAAAAUUUAAAUGCAAAAGUUUAAAAUUUUUGAUCUGUUCGAUCAUUAAAAUCUUACAUGAUCUGAGUUCAAACCGGUGUAAGCCAGGUUGGUUUCUAUCUUUAAAUAAAUAAAAUAUUUUAGUACGAAAGGAUCAAAUAUUUAAAAUAAUUUUAUAAAAAAGAAUAUUAAUAAUAAUAAUGUAAAAUUA
This 1339-nucleotide ribosomal RNA is filed under the name Parnassius tenedius. RNAcentral describes it as "16S ribosomal RNA". The stretch from base 1080 to 1239 matches the Rfam family "Eukaryotic large subunit ribosomal RNA", at positions 2825 to 2984 of the family's 3401-position model. Lineage: Eukaryota; Metazoa; Arthropoda; Insecta; Lepidoptera; Papilionidae. The record is from RNAcentral.